Molecule: long non-coding RNA, 477 nt
Filed under: Helianthus annuus (common sunflower)
Lineage: Eukaryota; Viridiplantae; Streptophyta; Magnoliopsida; Asterales; Asteraceae
Source: RNAcentral
AUGAUUCAGGCAUUGACAUUUCGAGUCAAUCAUCUCCACUAUCCUUCAUCUCCAUUAAGAUUUUGUUAUCUGGAUUCUUCGGUCUCAAGGGUUUUUAUUCUCAAGUGGUGUUUGAGAUUGAAAACUUUUUUGGUUGCGUGAUCGUUUAAUCCUUGAAGAACGAUAUAUCAUGGCUGUGUAUACUUGUAAAAAGUGUAAGACUGAUGCAUUUACUGUAUGGAAUGCUUGGGGACUGGCUUUAAUUCCGAUGGAACAUUGUGCUCAAGUUCGUGUCAAGCUCAAUUGAUAGAUGUGAAAGGAAGAGAAGAAAUACUGAUAAUUCAUAGCAAAAACAAGAAGCUCGACAAGAACGUGUCACUAAAUGUGAUCACGAUGCGAACUUCUAGGUUAAACUGUAUGAGCUGGCAAAUCUAAUGAACGAUACAACCAUCUUGAUGGCAGAAGAGGCAAGGGUAAGAUUAGUUUGAAAAAGAUUGA